UUUAUAUAGUUUAUAUACUAGUUUGGUGUAUGUGUCGGUAUAUGGAUGAUGGAUGUUUAUAUUGUUGUGUAUGUGUGUUGGGAUAAAGUAGGUAUAAAACAGGUACAGUUUUUUGGGAAAUCUACAAAAUAAGAAAAUUCUGGUUUCCUGGUUUUUUUACAUUAGCGACCGCAUGCGGUCGCUAAUAAUUACUAGCGACUGCUAAUCAUAUGAGGGUAUUAACGACCACACGCGGUCGCUGCCACGUGGCCCACGUAAGCUUUUGGCCCU
This 270-nucleotide long non-coding RNA is filed under the name Panax ginseng (ginseng). RNAcentral describes it as "long non-coding RNA (PGIN_LNC011018)". The record is from RNAcentral. Lineage: Eukaryota; Viridiplantae; Streptophyta; Magnoliopsida; Apiales; Araliaceae.